AACGUAGGAGGCAAGCGUUAUCCGGAUUUACUGGGCGUAAAGCGUGUGUAGGCGGUUCGGCAAGUUGGAUGUGAAAGCUCCUGGCUUAACUAGGAGAGGUCGUUCAAUACUACCGAACUUGAGGGCAUCAGAGGAAGAUGGAAUUCCCGGUGUAGUGGUGAAAUGCGUAGAUAUCGGGAGGAACACCAGUGGCGAAAGCGGUCUUCUGGGAUGAUCCUGACGCUCAGACACGAAAGCUAGGGUAG
RNAcentral lists this ribosomal RNA (245 nucleotides) under uncultured bacterium. RNAcentral's name for it is "partial 16S ribosomal RNA". It matches the Rfam family "Bacterial small subunit ribosomal RNA", at positions 524 to 768 of the family's 1533-position model. The record is from RNAcentral.